This 468-nucleotide ribosomal RNA is filed under the name uncultured bacterium. Its description in RNAcentral is "partial 16S ribosomal RNA". It matches the Rfam family "Bacterial small subunit ribosomal RNA", at positions 28 to 507 of the family's 1533-position model. The record is from RNAcentral.
GACGAACGCUGGCGGCGUGCUUAACACAUGCAAGUCGAACGGAAAGGCCCUGCUUUUGUGGGGUGCUCGAGUGGCGAACGGGUGCGUAACAUGUGAGUAACCUGCCCUUGUCUUUGGGAUAACUUCAGGAAACUGGGGCUAAUACCGUAUAGGAGCUCCUGUUGCAUGGUGGGGGUUGGAAAGUUUCGGCGGUGGGGGAUGGACUCGCGGGUUAUCAGCUUGUUGGUGGGGUAGUGGCUUACCCAGGCUUUGACGGGUAGCCGGCCUGAGAGGGUGACCGGCGACAUGGGGACUGAGAGAGGGCGCAGACUGCUACGGGAGGCAGCAGUGGGGAAUAUUGCACAAUGGGCGGAAGCCUGAUGCAGCAGCGCCGCGUGCGGGAUGACGGCCUUCGGGGUGUGAACCGCUUUCGCCUGUGACGAAGCGUGAGUGACGGUAAUGGGUAAAGAAGCACCGGCUAACUACGUG